This 679-nucleotide long non-coding RNA is filed under the name Lathyrus oleraceus (garden pea). RNAcentral describes it as "Pisum sativum (pea) long non-coding RNA (PSAT_LNC019647)". Lineage: Eukaryota; Viridiplantae; Streptophyta; Magnoliopsida; Fabales; Fabaceae. The record is from RNAcentral.
AAUUAGAUAAAAAUAGUAUAGACGUUUUUUUAAAGGAUAUAUAUAUAUAUAUAUAUAUAUAUAUANCUAAAUACAAACAAAAUCUGCUUAUAAUUGAAAUUGAAAACAGGUACACGAGAAGUAUCGAGUGUUUAUUGUAUAUUUUCUUAUAAAUAGAGCAUAGAAGUAUCGAGUGUUUAUUGUAUAUUUUCUUGAGUGUGGCUCAAAAUAUAGAAUCAUAUGGGUUUAAAAUAUCCUUGAACCAUACAUUUACACAAGGAGUGACUUACACACGUCAUGAUCUUAGGUUUUUGACAUCAAUCUUUGGGACAAUCAGAAUCUUUAAAACAUCUACGCAUCCGUGCUAUAAAUAGAAAAGAAAAGAAAAAAGAAAAUUGGAUGGAAUAUUGUAUAUAAGGUGAAGAGAAAAUUUUAGAAGAUAAAAAUAACUUACCUUCAACAUAUCAGAUAAUUAUAAAAUAAACAAACUUGAUAAUUUGAGCCAUAAUUUUUCUCUUUCAUGUAACAAAAGGUUUUAUCACUUCAUUAUUUAUAAAGCUUUUUCUCUUCUUACAAAAAUCGAAUAUGUAUUAGCGCUUAUCUUAUCGAGUGGUAAAAACCACUUCCAUAAAGAUUAAUCAUAACUAAAUGUCUUUUAAAUAUAUCAAUGAGUUGUAUUUAUCUCUUUAAUAUAUUUAUU